Molecule: long non-coding RNA, 1174 nt
Organism: Magallana angulata
Lineage: Eukaryota; Metazoa; Mollusca; Bivalvia; Ostreida; Ostreidae
Exons: 2
Source: RefSeq, a predicted model, not a curated record
UUGGAAGAGUCGACAGGGAAAUGGCCAAUAAACACGCUUGUAUAUGUAAAUAUGUCAUAAAAUGGCAUAUCAGCUUUAGAUUAGGCGACGGGAUAUUUGAACAAACAUUACAAAUUAUUUAUGUCAAUGACAAACACUUUGAAGCACCCUCGUCGUCCAGUGUCCAGUGCGGUUAUGGUGGACUUGACCCCAUGUCCUGGACGACUGUUCAAAGUUGACAUCACACUGGUGUCAAUGGGUGGGUGGGGCCCGAGAAUAAAUGAUCUAUAGAUGAACAAGGCACAGGUUUCUCUUUAUUUGACAAAAACCAAUAAUCUCGUCGUACAAACAGGGAGACCCAGAUUUCUCUUUGUUUUAGGGGUGUGAAAGGGAACCCAUGUGAGGGGGGCGUGUCCCCGCGUUUCUCCGCUGUCCACAUCGUGAUCAGCUCGUCCGUGCUGUCGGCUCCUCAUUGCUUGGCCAAUGGACGAGCAGCUUGGUAACCAGAUGGUCCACUCGGAAUCCGGCCCUGCUCGGUCUCCACACGCAAGGAUUGUUUGCUCACAGUUCGAGGGCCCUUCCUGUCAACACGUUGUUUGGAAGACACGAAGUGCUUUUCCUGAAUAACCAUUCUCUGGAGAGAACAUUUAUUUUUUCACAGUUCUAGUUGUCAGAUACGAAAUCCACAUGAAAAAAACAUGUAAUGCCUUAUUGCUGUGAAAUCCCAAAGGGCACGCCUCUUAUCUGAAGUCUAUGUAAACUAUGUGUAUAAAUAAGUAACCAAGUUGUCCAUAUUUUGUUUAUAUCUUAGCAAUAUCUGGGUUUUUUUUUUCCAUUUCUCAGUAAGAUGAUAUAUGAAUAAGCCUAACCCUAACCCCGAUUUCUCCAACCCGGAAGUUCUGUAAAAAUUGUUAUAAAAAGAAAAUUACACAGUAAACUAAAAGAAAACCCAAGAGAGUUCGCAAAAGUUUUACAAAAACUGGUACCAGAAGUCUUCUUAAGCUAAAGUGCAAGGAACAGUCAACAACGCUUUGAUGAAAGGGACACAUUCCAUGCUAUAGAAGCAACAGAAAUGCACCACUGACGCUUUUCUUGGUCACUGUUACAUGUAGUUUUUGGCCAUUGCAUGUACAUCAUUAAAGUUAGAUAAAGUUUUACUGACAUUCUUUUCAAAAAAAUAAACGCGACAAAUUUC